AGAGGUUGCAAGCGUUAAUCGGAUUUACUGGGCGUAAAGCGUGUGUAGGUGGUUCGACAAGUCGGUUGUGAAAUCCCCGGGCUCAACCUGGGAAUUGCUUCCGAGACUGUCAGACUAGAGAUCGGUAGAGGGCGGUGGAAUUUCCGGUGUAGCGGUGAAAUGCGUAGAUAUCGGAAGGAACACCAAUGGCGAAGGCAGCCGCCUGGGCCUGAUCUGACACUGAGACACGAAAGCGUGGGGAUCAAACAGGAUUAGAUACCCUGGUAGUCCACGCCGUAAACGAUGAGAACUUGACGUCGGUUUGCUUAGCGAAUCGGUGUCGUAGCUAACGCGAUAAGUUGACCGCCUGGGGAGUACGGCCGCAAGGUUA
This 370-nucleotide ribosomal RNA is filed under the name uncultured bacterium. RNAcentral's name for it is "bacterial SSU rRNA". It matches the Rfam family "Bacterial small subunit ribosomal RNA", at positions 527 to 896 of the family's 1533-position model. The record is from RNAcentral.